CCCCCGGCCUCGCCCCGGCUCCGGGCGGCGGGGGCAGGCGGGUCCCGCCGGGGGUGCCCGGGCCCCGCUUCCAGCCCCGGGAGGCGGCUGAGGGCCGGGCCUGGCAGCGCGGCGGGCCCCGGGGCCUGAGGGGGAGCGCGGCGGGGCCGUGCUGCGCCCGGGAUUCCCAGCGAGCCCGCUUAGCGCCGGUCGGAGCGGUCCCGGAGCUGCUCCGGAGGCCCCGGCAGGUUCCCAGCCAAGGCUGGGGUCACUGGCAUGUAAAAGGAUCCCAGCUCCAGAGGUUCAGGGAAGUAGGCAGGGCGUACAGAUUCCACAUCUCUGAGGGAGAUUUGUUCUCUCCAGAAAUCUCAGGAACCAAUUCUGCAACUGAUAUGAACGCUGCAAGGGUGGCAGCCCCCAAACCCAGGGGUCUCUUCAUCAUUACUUUUAGGCUGAGAGUGCACCAUGAUUGUACAUAA
RNAcentral lists this long non-coding RNA (458 nucleotides) under Anser brachyrhynchus (Pink-footed goose). Its description in RNAcentral is "lncRNA (ENSABRG00000004699.1)". Lineage: Eukaryota; Metazoa; Chordata; Aves; Anseriformes; Anatidae. The record is from RNAcentral.